Molecule: long non-coding RNA, 1314 nt
Filed under: Homo sapiens (human)
Lineage: Eukaryota; Metazoa; Chordata; Mammalia; Primates; Hominidae
Description: long intergenic non-protein coding RNA 2889
Source: RNAcentral
AAAUACAAGGGUAAGAAGAGGAAUCAUGUGGAAGAAGAGUAAACAUCUGAUGGUGUCCUGGGUAGCUGAAACUGUGGAAAGCAAAACCGUGGAUAAGGGGGAACUACUAUACUGAAAAUGUACAAAACAGAGAAGAUUUCAUUGAAGAAGUCUGCUGUUUCUGGAAUGGGAAAUUAAGCACAACUGGAACAGUUAUCGACUGUGAUUCUUGCUGGGACCAAUAACCUUCUACAAAUACCAACAUCAGUUUUUAUGAAAGGCAAAGAGCUGACAGGUUUACAGACUGCACCCUAACAUUAAGCUACCAGGAGAAACUUCCAAGUUACCCUCUUGUUACUUGUGCCCCAGAGGUGAACACUAUAAACUGCUACAGCAUGCAAUUUAGGGCCACAUUUGGAGCCUCAUCUCUUUGUCAUGACCAACAAAUUUAAAUCCUCAUCAACUGGAAAGAGGAAACUUCAUCUGGAUAAAUACUAUAUUCAUAACUAGGAGAGGUUCGUGAAGAAGUGAUUGGGAAAGAGAGCAAGUCUUGGUUGGACAGUGUGAUUCAAUAGAAAUGUGAGGAGGAAAACUGCAAUUAUUUCUGAACCUUCCCAUCAGCCUUGUCUCUGAUAGAAUUGGCCUGUUGUGGACGGGCUUUGUGUAGAUUAGAGAAAGAAGAAGAUGCUCUUUUGGUGUAAUUGUUCAGUUCCACAUGGCCGGGGAGGCCUCACGAUCAUGGCAGAAGGCAAGGAGGAGCAAGUCACAUCUUAUGUGGAUGGCAGCAGGCAAAGAGAGAGCGAGCUUGUGCAAGGAGACUCCCAUUUUUAAAACCAUCAGAUCUCGUGAGACUUAUUCACUAUCAGGAGAACAGCAAGCUAAAUCAGUGUGAGACCAAGGACCCUGGGGCUCCUCCAGUCAUUGCAGCUGUAUCACAACUACCCUGACAGAUUUCUUGCUCAGGGCAAGCCACCUGCCAUGUCUUGAGAACACUCAAGCAGCACAUGGCGAGGAAUGGAGAUGGACAGACAUGGGCCAGCAAGAAACAGGCUUGCCAACAACAGCUUGCGUGAUCCUGAAAGCCCCGUUGACUGGAGGAUGGCCAUUUGACAACACAUUAUUUCCUGAGGAAACUUUUGACUUCUGGUGACUUGGGCCCCAGGCUGGCUGAAUUUGCCAAGACCCGGCUUUGCCCUUGCAUGUGUGAAAAAUGGCCUCAAGUAUGACCCCAUGGCAAGAUGGAAAGAAACUGUGCUCUUGAAUAGCUUAGAGAUUCAGAGCCCCCCAACCAGCUUGAAACGCCCACCUCAAAACAAUGACAUGAGAAGAAACAAA